This 400-nucleotide long non-coding RNA is filed under the name Vigna radiata. RNAcentral describes it as "long non-coding RNA (VRAD_LNC016795)". Lineage: Eukaryota; Viridiplantae; Streptophyta; Magnoliopsida; Fabales; Fabaceae. The record is from RNAcentral.
CUUUUUCAGCUUUGCCACUAUUGCUUUCGCUUGUUGUUUGGUGUCGUUCAAUCUGAUAUGCAUUUUGUGCAGAUCCUCCAAUGCUUUUUCCUUGUCCCUCUUGAAUUCAUCACACAUAUGCUUUAUAAAACGCUCUGAUAUCUCAAUUAUACCAUAUUCCCGUUCUUUCAAGGCUAGCUCAGUUUUGGCCGCUACUAGUUCUCUCCUUUGUUUUAAUAACAACUCUUCACAUACUUCAUUGUUUUCCACACUAUCUUGCUUGAGAUUCGCAUAAUUAUGUUGUAGGUUCUGAAGGCUACUAGUCAACUUGAUGUUUUCUAGCUUCAUCCGCUCUAAUUCGGUCUUCAACAGUUGCACCUCCUCGUCUUCAGUCUUAUGAAGAUACUCAUCACAAUCCAGG